RNAcentral lists this ribosomal RNA (637 nucleotides) under Tomentella sp. LM4933. RNAcentral's name for it is "eukaryotic LSU rRNA". The stretch from base 210 to 364 matches the Rfam family "5.8S ribosomal RNA". Lineage: Eukaryota; Fungi; Basidiomycota; Agaricomycetes; Thelephorales; Thelephoraceae. The record is from RNAcentral.
CAUUACCGAACCGUCGACACGAGUUGUUGCUGGUCCUCAAAUGGGGGCAUGUGCACGCUCUGUUUGCACAUCCACUCACACCUGUGCACCCUCCAUAGUUCUAUAGCCGUUGGGGCUCUGUCCCCCCCUGCUGUGGUUCUAUGCAUUUACACACACACACUGUAAUAAAGUCUCAUGGAAUGUAUGCCGCGUUUAACGCAAUACAAUACAACUUUCAGCAACGGAUCUCUUGGCUCUCGCAUCGAUGAAGAACGCAGCGAAAUGCGAUAAGUAAUGUGAAUUGCAGAAUUCAGUGAAUCAUCGAAUCUUUGAACGCACCUUGCGCCCUUUGGCUAUUCCGAAGGGCAUGCCUGUUUGAGUAUCAUGAACACCUCAACUCUUCAUGGCUUGCCAUGAUGAGCUUGGACUAUGGGGGUCUUGCUGGCCUGCGGUCGGCUCCUCUCAAAUGAAUCAGCUUGCCAGUGUUUGGUGGCGUCACAGGUGUGAUAACUAUCUAUGCUUGUGGCUUUCCACCAGGUAACCUUCAGCGAUGGAGGUUCGCUGGGGCUCAUAAACGUCUCUCCUCAGUGAGGACAGCUCUUUGAACGUUUGAUCUCAAAUCAGGUAGGACUACCCGCUGAACUUAAGCAUAUCAAUA